UACAGAGGUCUCGAGCGUUGUUCGGAUUCAUUGGGCGUAAAGGGUGCGUAGGCGGCGCGGUAAGUCGGGCGUGAAAUCUCGGAGCUUAACUUCGAAACUGCAUUCGAUACUGCCGUGCUUGAGGACUGGAGAGGAGAGUGGAAUUUACGGUGUAGCGGUGAAAUGCGUAGAUAUCGUAAGGAAGACCAGUGGCGAAGGCGGGUCUCUGGACAGUUCCUGACGCUGAGGCGCGAAGGCGAGGGGAGCAAACGGG
This 253-nucleotide ribosomal RNA is filed under the name uncultured bacterium. RNAcentral describes it as "partial 16S ribosomal RNA". It matches the Rfam family "Bacterial small subunit ribosomal RNA", at positions 524 to 776 of the family's 1533-position model. The record is from RNAcentral.